Molecule: long non-coding RNA, 407 nt
Organism: Malaclemys terrapin pileata
Lineage: Eukaryota; Metazoa; Chordata; Testudines; Emydidae
Exons: 3
Source: RefSeq, a predicted model, not a curated record
CCUUCCCUGCUGCUGGAGUCCCCCACACUGCUGCCUGCUUUGCAGAUGCCUGCUGAGGUCUGGGCCACUGGAUUCAUAGCACUAAAGGGGUUUGUCAUUGAUGAUCAAAGAAACAAAACACUUGUUCUGAUGAGCAUCAAUCUGUAUCCAUGUUUUGUGCUUUUGAACCUCCUCCAACAUCAAUCAUGAAUAUCCUGAUUUUAGGAGUCAAGAUAAACAUUCUGCUGCUAAAGCAAAACUUGUAAGGUCCAUCCACGUGAGCAGCCAGGGUGUAGAACGGGGUAAAGGAGUUGGCCCCCAAAAAAGGCAAUCACAGAAUAAAACAGUGAACGUCAGAGCAAACGGACUUCUUAUUUUAUUGUAAAUAGUGGCUUUCCAAAUAAAGCAUGAUAAUACACAGAAUCAUU